AUUGAACGCUGGCGGCAUGCCUUACACAUGCAAGUCGAACGGCAGCACGGGAGCAAUCCUGGUGGCGAGUGGCGAACGGGUGAGUAAUAUAUCGGAACGUGCCCGGUCGUGGGGGAUAACGUAGCGAAAGCUACGCUAAUACCGCAUACGAUCUACGGAUGAAAGCGGGGGAUCGCAAGACCUCGCGCGAUUGGAGCGGCCGAUAUCAGAUUAGGUAGUUGGUGAGGUAAAGGCUCACCAAGCCGACGAUCUGUAGCUGGUCUGAGAGGACGACCAGCCACACUGGGACUGAGACACGGCCCAGACUCCUACGGGAGGCAGCAGUGGGGAAUUUUGGACAAUGGGCGCAAGCCUGAUCCAGCAAUGCCGCGUGCAGGA
Molecule: ribosomal RNA, 378 nt
Filed under: uncultured bacterium
Lineage: Bacteria
Description: bacterial SSU rRNA
Rfam family: Bacterial small subunit ribosomal RNA
Source: RNAcentral